AGGGCUGUGGUGUAGCUUGGUUAGCAUCCGAGCCUUGGGAGCUCGUGACGCCGGUUCGAAUCCGGCCAGCCCCA
This 74-nucleotide transfer RNA is filed under the name Candidatus Pacearchaeota archaeon. RNAcentral describes it as "tRNA-Pro". It matches the Rfam family "tRNA". From Rfam's summary of the family: Transfer RNA (tRNA) molecules are approximately 80 nucleotides in length. RNAcentral also lists the same sequence under 1 other name. Lineage: Archaea; Nanobdellati. The record is from RNAcentral.